This 253-nucleotide ribosomal RNA is filed under the name uncultured bacterium. Its description in RNAcentral is "partial 16S ribosomal RNA". It matches the Rfam family "Bacterial small subunit ribosomal RNA", at positions 524 to 776 of the family's 1533-position model. The record is from RNAcentral.
UACAGAGGUCCCAAGCGUUGUUCGGAUUCACUGGGCGUAAAGGGUGCGUAGGUGGUAGGGUAAGUUUGAGGUGAAAGCUCCGGGCCUAACCCGGAAAUUGCCUCAAAUACUAUCCUGCUAGAGGAUUGGCGGGGAGACUGGAAUUCUCGGUGUAGCAGUGAAAUGCGUAGAUAUCGAGAGGAACACCAGUGGCGAAGGCGAGUCUCUAGACAAUUCCUGACACUGAGGCACGAAAGCCAGGGGAGCAAACGGG